GGCUGUACCUCAGUGGUAGAGUGCUUGCCUAGCAUGUGUGAGGCACUGGGUUUGAUUCUCAGCACCA
Molecule: transfer RNA, 67 nt
Filed under: Marmota monax (woodchuck)
Lineage: Eukaryota; Metazoa; Chordata; Mammalia; Rodentia; Sciuridae
Description: tRNA.Ala
Source: RNAcentral